CCGAAAUAAAAACCUGCAGAUGAUCAGCCUCUGUUAAAAGUGAACCGCAGCAGUUAGCCUUUCACCUCUGUGAAAUUUCCUCAACCUAGAUUGAUAGUUCGGUCGCUUUCCUCGGAGUAUUCCAGAAAAUGUUGCAAAGUAAUUCUAACCACAACCAAAGAUAUUGAUCAGAAGAUCCAAUAAGCUGUGAAUCUUGAAAUUGAAAUGUGGAGGAGAUAGAAAAUUAUCAGGACAAAACAAAAUAAAGAUGGUGGAACACUACUGUUUGGGAAUAAUGACAAGAAAAAAAGACUCUACAUGUGCAGUACAGACGCAACCAUUGCAGCUCUUCUGGGAACGCUGAUGCUGCCUCAGCAUCAGUCGAUGCUGAUUCUCCUGUGAUCUUUAAGUUCUUGAGGCUGUAACGCUUUACAUAGCUAGCCAGCCAUCCCUUACUAGCCUUAAACUCCCUCCUCUCGCUCACAACACAAGUAACGUACGAACAAGACGUGAGGUGAACAAUGUUCAAACAAUGAGUGCUGGAGAGAGAGACUGAGGAUCUGUGAAAUGGCGGGAGGCUACAGCAGGGUAUGCCUACACAUCACUUCAUUCGCUUGGAUUCAGCGUAGUGCCUGGCGUGCAGCAAAUUCAAGCUUUGCUUUUUGGAAUUUUCUGGAAUUUUUUUUUUGAAUAUUCUUGAUCCGUGGUUGGUUGAACCCGCGGAUGCAGAAUCCACGGAUACAGAGGGCCUACUGUAAGGAGUAAUUUAAGUAAAUCAUGUUUAAAUAAACAUAAUAUGAAGUGUU
Molecule: long non-coding RNA, 785 nt
Organism: Hypanus sabinus (Atlantic stingray)
Lineage: Eukaryota; Metazoa; Chordata; Chondrichthyes; Myliobatiformes; Dasyatidae
Exons: 3
Source: RefSeq, a predicted model, not a curated record